RNAcentral lists this long non-coding RNA (302 nucleotides) under Lathyrus oleraceus (garden pea). Its description in RNAcentral is "Pisum sativum (pea) long non-coding RNA (PSAT_LNC012927)". The record is from RNAcentral. Lineage: Eukaryota; Viridiplantae; Streptophyta; Magnoliopsida; Fabales; Fabaceae.
UUGAAUGUAUGAUGAAAUUAAUAAAGAAGCAUGGACAUAAAAAGAUAUUACAAGAAACAAAAUACUAAAAGACAAUAAAAUAAUAAAAGAUAAAAGCUAAAAGAAAAUGAGAUACUAAAAAUACUAAAGAAAAAUGAAAUACUAAAAAAAAAAUGAAAAAAAAAAGCUACGUAUAAGUAUCGAACUCACUCCACCUAAGACUUAAAUACCACUCCUCUCCACCAGGCCACUUAACAACUAACUGUUAUUUUAAGACUAACCUAAAUAUAUAAACUAAAAUAAAUUAAAAAAAGGAUUAAAAU